This 427-nucleotide ribosomal RNA is filed under the name Leptodactylus petersii group sp. ABGD cluster 101. RNAcentral's name for it is "partial large subunit ribosomal RNA". It matches the Rfam family "Bacterial large subunit ribosomal RNA", at positions 1835 to 2441 of the family's 2925-position model. Lineage: Eukaryota; Metazoa; Chordata; Amphibia; Anura; Leptodactylidae. The record is from RNAcentral.
CUUGCAGCCAAUAAGAGGUCCAGCCUGCCCAGUGACUCUGUUCAACGGCCGCGGUAUCCUAACCGUGCAAAGGUAGCGCAAUCACUUGUCCUUUAAAUAAGGACUAGUAUGAACGGCACCACGAAAGCUAUACUGUCUCCUUCCUCUAAUCAGUGAAACUAAUCUUCCCGUGAAGAAGCGGGGAUAAUUUUAUAAGACGAGAAGACCCUAUGGAGCUUUAAACACACAACAAUUGUCACCGGGAUCCCCCGUUUCCCCGGAAGAAACUGCUUACCCGAACAUUUUGAUUGUAAGUUUUAGGUUGGGGUGACCGCGGAGCAAAAAUUAACCUCCAUAGUGAACGGGAUUCUUUUCCCUAAACCCAGGGCCACAACCCUAAGGAUCAAUAAACUGACACCCAUUGACCCAAUACUUUUGACCAACGAAC